This 218-nucleotide ribosomal RNA is filed under the name uncultured soil bacterium. Its description in RNAcentral is "partial 16S ribosomal RNA". It matches the Rfam family "Bacterial small subunit ribosomal RNA", at positions 26 to 243 of the family's 1533-position model. The record is from RNAcentral.
AGGACGAACGCUGGCGGCGCGCUUAACACAUGCAAGUCGUACGGGGCUCCUUCGGGGGUUCAGUGGCGAACGGGUGCGUAACACGUGAGUGACCUGCCCUUGUGCGGGGGAUAACCCGGGGAAACCCGGGCUAAUACCGCAUGCACUCUUCUGGCUUCAUGGCUGGGAGAGGAAAGAUGCUGUAAGGCAUCGCGCAGGGAGGGGCUCGCGGCGUAUCA